UACGUAGGGUGCAAGCGUUAAUCGGAAUUACUGGGCGUAAAGCGUGCGCAGGCGGUUCUAUAAGACAGAUGGGAAAUCCCCGGGCUCAACCUGGGAACUGCAUUUGUGACUGUAGAGCUGGAGUACGGCAGAGGGGGAUGGAAUUCCGCGUGUAGCAGUGAAAUGCGUAGAUAUGCGGAGGAACACCGAUGGCGAAGGCAAUCCCCUGGACCUGUACUGACGCUCAUGCACGAAAGCGUGGGGAGCAAACAGG
This 253-nucleotide ribosomal RNA is filed under the name uncultured bacterium. RNAcentral describes it as "partial 16S ribosomal RNA". It matches the Rfam family "Bacterial small subunit ribosomal RNA", at positions 524 to 776 of the family's 1533-position model. The record is from RNAcentral.